AAUACUGACAACGGCGUAACCAAAUACUUUACGUUGUAAGAGUUAUCUCCCCAAACACUGUUUUUCUUGUGGCCACUACUCUGACGCAACUGUAAAAGAUUACGACAAAAUUAUUUUACCAGAUUGCUCGUUACAUCUUCAGGAUUGGGAUUUUAAUUUUGACCGAAGCUAUCCAGAGACUCCAUAUGAGAGUUAUUCCCCCUUAUGUAUUUGAU
This 215-nucleotide long non-coding RNA is filed under the name Mytilus galloprovincialis (Mediterranean mussel). Lineage: Eukaryota; Metazoa; Mollusca; Bivalvia; Mytilida; Mytilidae. The record is from RNAcentral.